CCUACGGGGGGCAGCAGUAGGGAAUAUUGCUCAAUGGGGGAAACCCUGAAGCAGCAACGCCGCGUGGAGGAUGACACUUUUCGGAGCGUAAACUCCUUUUGUUAGGGAAGAAUAAUGACGGUACCUAACGAAUAAGCACCGGCUAACUCCGUGCCAGCAGCCGCGGUAAUACGGAGGGUGCAAGCGGUACUCGGAAUCACUGGGCGGAAAGGACGCGUAGGCGGAUUAUCAAGUCUCUUGUGAAAUCCUAUGGCUUAACCAUAGAACUGCUUGGGAAACUGAUAAUCUAGAGUGAGGGAGAGGCAGAUGGAAUUGGUGGUGUAGGGGUAAAAUCCGUAGAGAUCACCAGGAAUACCCAUUGCGAAGGCGAUCUGCUGGAACUCAACUGACGCUAAGGCGUGAAAGCGUGGGGAGCAAACAGGAUUAGAUACCCUGGUAGUC
RNAcentral lists this ribosomal RNA (441 nucleotides) under uncultured Campylobacter sp. RNAcentral describes it as "bacterial SSU rRNA". It matches the Rfam family "Bacterial small subunit ribosomal RNA", at positions 338 to 795 of the family's 1533-position model. The record is from RNAcentral. Lineage: Bacteria; Pseudomonadati; Campylobacterota; Epsilonproteobacteria; Campylobacterales; Campylobacteraceae.